Molecule: ribosomal RNA, 462 nt
Filed under: uncultured bacterium
Lineage: Bacteria
Description: bacterial SSU rRNA
Rfam family: Bacterial small subunit ribosomal RNA
Source: RNAcentral
UUGAACGCUGGCGGCGUGCUUUACACAUGCAAGUCGAACGGCAGCACAGGUAGCAAUACUGGGUGGCGAGCGGCGGACGGGUGAGUAACACGUGGGUAACCUGCCUCGUAGUGGGGAAUAACUCGCCGAAAGGCGAGCUAAUACCGCAUAUUACUUCCGGUGAGAAUCCGGAAAGUAAAAGCUUCGGCGCUACGAGAGGGGCCCGCGGCCGAUUAGCUUGUUGGUGGGGUAACGGCCUACCAAGGCGACGAUCGGUAGCUGGUCUGAGAGGAUGGUCAGCCACACGGGGACUGAGAUACGGCCCCGACUCCUACGGGAGGCAGCAGCUAAGAAUCUUGCGCAAUGGGCGAAAGCCUGACGCAGCAACGCCGCGUGGAGGACGAAGGCCCUCGGGUUGUAAACUCCUUUUGCGAGGGAAGAAGUUCUGACGGUACCUCGCGAAUAAGCCACGGCUAACUACGU